AUGCCGCGGGACACGGAUCUGGAACGGCUGACGGCGUUCGCCAAGGACUACGCUCAGCUCUACGCGCGCUUUGCGAAUCACUUCGCCAUCCCGGAGAGAGCUACCAUCGACGGUUUUGCGGAGCUGUUUGAUGCGAGCCACAUCGAGUACCUCCACUACUGCGGCGGCACGACGCUCGAACGUCCGUUCUUUCCCGCCAUCACAAGUGAGCUUCUCAUGCUGAGCUCUGCCUACCUGUCGAUUCCGGAGGCAGUGGCACCGCGCGGGGCUCGUACGUUUGGGCUGCUUCUGAGUUUCUUCAUCUAUUCCACUCAGCCUGCACGACAGCAGCCCAAGGUGCCGGCUAGUGUCACCACGGAAGGGGCGUCGUUGCCGCCAGUCCAAACAACUGCGUCGCUUGUGGAAUCCACCCUACCCCGCAGUGGAGGACCGCGAGCGGCCCGCAUCGCGAUGAUGGCGGACAGCCUCACCAGCUCAAGCACUCAGCAGCCGCAGUCUUGCAGCGCAGCAGAGGGAACGGCAGCCACUGCACCACCGUCUCCGCCUGUCCCGUCGUCCCUGCGUCUUCCGAUGCAGCCAGUGCCAGUGAGUGUCAGCUGUAUGCGCUUAUUGCUCUCCCGUCUGUUCAUUGACGCAGGAUCGGGGGUCAUGUCUGGGCAGUCCUGUGCAGAAGCUCCGCCUCUACGCACAGCAGCGGCAGCCGCUCCAGCGUCCGCCUCGCCGGCUCAGCUGUCCCAUACGGAGGCCAAGGUGGUGCUGGCGCUGCGCCGCGCCACUGGGUGGCAUAUUGAGCCCUACCUGCAGCAAGGAAAGCACAUUUCUGCGCUCUUGUCCGCUCAUCAGGCGUGCGCGGUGCCGCUCGUGCAGCACGUCACGCCUCUCCCGCGCUCUCUCUUUGCGGCUACACUGACAGCACGUUCGAUGCUGAAUGCGUCGGCGGCACCGGAGGAGAUAGGCGGGUCCGACAGCCUCUUUCGCGACCCGGACUUUGUGCGACUGCGACAGGGAUACGAAGCAGCGCGCCGGCGACUGCUACUUGGGGAGCGCCGGUGA
Molecule: ribosomal RNA, 1053 nt
Filed under: Leishmania infantum
Lineage: Eukaryota; Euglenozoa; Kinetoplastea; Trypanosomatida; Trypanosomatidae
Description: small_nuclear_RNA-activating_protein
Source: RNAcentral